Molecule: long non-coding RNA, 211 nt
Organism: Varanus komodoensis (Komodo dragon)
Lineage: Eukaryota; Metazoa; Chordata; Lepidosauria; Squamata; Varanidae
Exons: 2
Source: RefSeq, a predicted model, not a curated record
ACUUCAGAUGGUGCAAAACAGACCAGCCAGGUUGCUGACGGGGACUGGGCAGCUGGUCUUGCUUGUUCUCAUAUAACCCCAGUUCUCCAUCAGCUUCCCUGGCUCCCGAUUGAACUCCGGACCCAAUUCAGGGUGUUGCUUAUGACCUAUAAAGCCCUCAACGACUUGGGACCUGGUUAUCUAAAGGAACGCUUGUGUCCAUAUAUGCCCU